RNAcentral lists this ribosomal RNA (425 nucleotides) under uncultured bacterium. RNAcentral describes it as "partial 16S ribosomal RNA". It matches the Rfam family "Bacterial small subunit ribosomal RNA", at positions 354 to 796 of the family's 1533-position model. The record is from RNAcentral.
GUGGGGAAUAUUGGACAAUGGGCGCAAGCCUGAUCCAGCAAUGCCGCGUGUGUGAAGAAGGUCUUCGGAUCGUAAAGCACUUUCGACGGGGACGAUGAUGACGGUACCCGUAGAAGAAGCCCCGGCUAACUUCGUGCCAGCAGCCGCGGUAAUACGAAGGGGGCUAGCGUUGCUCGGAAUUACUGGGCGUAAAGGGCGCGUAGGCGGCUCUGUGAGUCAGGCGUGAAAUUCCUGGGCUUAACCUGGGGACUGCGCUUGAUACUGCAGGGCUUGAGGCCGAGAGAGGGUGGUGGAAUUCCCAGUGUAGAGGUGAAAUUCGUAGAUAUUGGGAAGAACACCGGUGGCGAAGGCGACCACCUGGCUCGGUACUGACGCUGAGGCGCGACAGCGUGGGGAGCAAACAGGAUUAGAAACCCGUGUAGUCC